RNAcentral lists this ribosomal RNA (270 nucleotides) under uncultured archaeon. Its description in RNAcentral is "partial 16S ribosomal RNA". It matches the Rfam family "Archaeal small subunit ribosomal RNA", at positions 477 to 747 of the family's 1478-position model. The record is from RNAcentral.
CAGCACCUCAAGUGGUCAGGAUGAUUAUUGGGCCUAAAACAUCCGUAGCCGGCUCUGUAAGUUUUCGGUUAAAUCUGUAUGCUCAACAUACAGGCUGCCGGGAAUACUGCAGAGCUAGGGAGUGGGAGAGGUAGACGGUACUCGGUAGGAAGGGGUAAAAUCCUUUGAUCUAUUGAUGACCACCUGUGGCGAAGGCGGUCUACCAGAACACGUCCGACGGUGAGGGAUGAAAGCUGGGGGAGCAAACCGGAUUAGAUACCCGAGUAGUCC